UACGAUAGAGGCAAGUGUUGCUCGUAAUGACUGGGCGUAAAGAGCGCGUAGGCUGUCUAUCAGUACAGAUGGUGAAAGGCUGUGCGAAAUCAUAGAAACACUUAAUGUAAAGAUAGACUAGAGUUAUUCUCAAGUUACUAGAAAUCUUAGUUCAGGGCUCAAAUCUGUUUAACCAAGUAGGUAUAUCAAAUGGCGAAGGCAUUUAACUAGAGGUAACUGACGCUGAGGUGCGAAGGCAUGGCCCGCGAAUGGG
Molecule: ribosomal RNA, 253 nt
Filed under: uncultured bacterium
Lineage: Bacteria
Description: partial 16S ribosomal RNA
Rfam family: Bacterial small subunit ribosomal RNA
Source: RNAcentral